This 494-nucleotide ribosomal RNA is filed under the name uncultured bacterium. RNAcentral's name for it is "partial 16S ribosomal RNA". It matches the Rfam family "Bacterial small subunit ribosomal RNA", at positions 28 to 507 of the family's 1533-position model. The record is from RNAcentral.
GAUGAACGCUGGCGGCGUGCCUAAUACAUGCAAGUAGAACGCUGAAGGAGGAGCUUGCUCUUCUGGAUGAGUUGCGAACGGGUGAGUAACGCGUAGGUAACCUGCCUGGUAGCGGGGGAUAACUAUUGGAAACGAUAGCUAAUACCGCAUGACAACAGUUAUUGCAUGAUAACUGUUUAAAAGGGGCAACUGCUCCACUACCAGAUGGACCUGCGUUGUAUUAGCUAGUUGGUGAGGUAACGGCUCACCAAGGCGACGAUACAUAGCCGACCUGAGAGGGUGAUCGGCCACACUGGGACUGAGACACGGCCCAGACUCCUACGGGAGGCAGCAGUAGGGAAUCUUCGGCAAUGACGGAAGUCUGACCGAGCAACGCCGCGUGAGUGAAGAAGGUUUUCGGAUCGUAAAGCUCUGUUGUAAGAGAAGAACGAGUGUGAGAGUGGAAAGUUCACACUGUGACGGUAUCUUACCAGAAAGGGACGGCUAACUACGUG